This is a non-coding RNA of Mycena vulgaris, 111 nucleotides long. The record is from the annotation of a GenBank genome assembly. Lineage: Eukaryota; Fungi; Basidiomycota; Agaricomycetes; Agaricales; Mycenaceae.
GCAUCAGUGGUGUAGCGGUAACAUUGGGUCUUCCCACCUGGUACUGCACAACAAUGUGUAAUCAAUGUUUCUGAUGUGGCCUAGCUCCGGGUUCGACUCCCGGCUGAUGCA